CAAUAUAAACAAAGCUGUUUGUGAGGACCAGCGCUGGGAACGCACGCAGUGAGCAGGCCUCUCCUGUGAGGACAGAGCUGAUUGGGUCCGCGGAGCAAACUAACAGGAAAUGGAUGCUGUCUUCCCACUUCCGGUGCAAACAAGCCCUGAGAAGCGUCUCACCUAAGGAGAUGGUGAUUAAAAAAAAAGUCAACAUGGAUUUGGAAUCCAGAGGAUGUCAGUAAUGCUGAUGCAGAUCGGACUGAAAUACUUUGAUCGUCUUCUGACAGAAAGGAUAUUCCAUACAAAAAAGAUGGAUUCUCAGAUUCCGUUUUUUGCUUCAUUAUUGUUUGUGGCUUGUUUUCUCUGAGCAAUAAAUGGGUACAUACA
Molecule: long non-coding RNA, 369 nt
Organism: Suricata suricatta (meerkat)
Lineage: Eukaryota; Metazoa; Chordata; Mammalia; Carnivora; Herpestidae
Exons: 2
Source: RefSeq, a predicted model, not a curated record